Molecule: ribosomal RNA, 253 nt
Filed under: uncultured bacterium
Lineage: Bacteria
Description: partial 16S ribosomal RNA
Rfam family: Bacterial small subunit ribosomal RNA
Source: RNAcentral
UACGGGGGGGGCAAGCGUUGUUCGGAAUUACUGGGCGUAAAGGGCUCGUAGGUGGCCAACUAAGUCAGACGUGAAAUCCCUCGGCUUAACCGGGGAACUGCGUCUGAUACUGGAUGGCUUGAGGUUGGGAGAGGGAUGCGGAAUUCCAGGUGUAGCGGUGAAAUGCGUAGAUAUCUGGAGGAACACCGGUGGCGAAGGCGGCAUUCUGGACUGUAACUGACACUGAGGAACGAAAGCCAGGGGAGCAAACGGG